GGUUAAGCGACUAAGCGUACACGGUGGAUGCCCUGGCAGUCAGAGGCGAUGAAGGACGUGCUAAUCUGCGAUAAGCGUCGGUAAGGUGAUAUGAACCGUUAUAACCGGCGAUUUCCGAAUGGGGAAACCCAGUGUGAUUCGUCACACUAUCAUUAACUGAAUCCAUAGGUUAAUGAGGCGAACCGGGGGAACUGAAACAUCUAAGUACCCCGAGGAAAAGAAAUCAACCGAGAUUCCCCCAGUAGCGGCGAGCGAACGGGGAGGAGCCCAGAGCCUGAAUCAGUGUGUGUGUUAGUGGAAGCGUCUGGAAAGGCGCGCGAUACAGGGUGACAGCCCCGUACACAAAAAUGCACAUGCUGUGAGCUCGAUGAGUAGGGCGGGACACGUGGUAUCCUGUCUGAAUAUGGGGGGACCAUCCUCCAAGGCUAAAUACUCCUGACUGACCGAUAGUGAACCAGUACCGUGAGGGAAAGGCGAAAAGAACCCCGGCGAGGGGAGUGAAAAAGAACCUGAAACCGUGUACGUACAAGCAGUGGGAGCCUCUUUAUGGGGUGACUGCGUACCUUUUGUAUAAUGGGUCAGCGACUUAUAUUCUGUAGCAAGGUUAACCGAAUAGGGGAGCCGAAGGGAAACCGAGUCUUAACUGGGCGUUAAGUUGCAGGGUAUAGACCCGAAACCCGGUGAUCUAGCCAUGGGCAGGUUGAAGGUUGGGUAACACUAACUGGAGGACCGAACCGACUAAUGUUGAAAAAUUAGCGGAUGACUUGUGGCUGGGGGUGAAAGGCCAAUCAAACCGGGAGAUAGCUGGUUCUCCCCGAAAGCUAUUUAGGUAGCGCCUCGUGAAUUCAUCUCCGGGGGUAGAGCACUGUUUCGGCAAGGGGGUCAUCCCGACUUACCAACCCGAUGCAAACUGCGAAUACCGGAGAAUGUUAUCACGGGAGACACACGGCGGGUGCUAACGUCCGUCGUGAAGAGGGAAACAACCCAGACCGCCAGCUAAGGUCCCAAAGUCAUGGUUAAGUGGGAAACGAUGUGGGAAGGCCCAGACAGCCAGGAUGUUGGCUUAGAAGCAGCCAUCAUUUAAAGAAAGCGUAAUAGCUCACUGGUCGAGUCGGCCUGCGCGGAAGAUGUAACGGGGCUAAACCAUGCACCGAAGCUGCGGCAGCGACACUAUGUGUUGUUGGGUAGGGGAGCGUUCUGUAAGCCUGUGAAGGUGUGCUGUGAGGCAUGCUGGAGGUAUCAGAAGUGCGAAUGCUGACAUAAGUAACGAUAAAGCGGGUGAAAAGCCCGCUCGCCGGAAGACCAAGGGUUCCUGUCCAACGUUAAUCGGGGCAGGGUGAGUCGACCCCUAAGGCGAGGCCGAAAGGCGUAGUCGAUGGGAAACAGGUUAAUAUUCCUGUACUUGGUGUUACUGCGAAGGGGGGACGGAGAAGGCUAUGUUGGCCGGGCGACGGUUGUCCCGGUUUAAGCGUGUAGGCUGGUUUUCCAGGCAAAUCCGGAAAAUCAAGGCUGAGGCGUGAUGACGAGGCACUACGGUGCUGAAGCAACAAAUGCCCUGCUUCCAGGAAAAGCCUCUAAGCAUCAGGUAACAUCAAAUCGUACCCCAAACCGACACAGGUGGUCAGGUAGAGAAUACCAAGGCGCUUGAGAGAACUCGGGUGAAGGAACUAGGCAAAAUGGUGCCGUAACUUCGGGAGAAGGCACGCUGAUAUGUAGGUGAAGUCCCUCGCGGAUGGAGCUGAAAUCAGUCGAAGAUACCAGCUGGCUGCAACUGUUUAUUAAAAACACAGCACUGUGCAAACACGAAAGUGGACGUAUACGGUGUGACGCCUGCCCGGUGCCGGAAGGUUAAUUGAUGGGGUCAGCGCAAGCGAAGCUCUUGAUCGAAGCCCCGGUAAACGGCGGCCGUAACUAUAACGGUCCUAAGGUAGCGAAAUUCCUUGUCGGGUAAGUUCCGACCUGCACGAAUGGCGUAAUGAUGGCCAGGCUGUCUCCACCCGAGACUCAGUGAAAUUGAACUCGCUGUGAAGAUGCAGUGUACCCGCGGCAAGACGGAAAGACCCCGUGAACCUUUACUAUAGCUUGACACUGAACAUUGAGCCUUGAUG
RNAcentral lists this ribosomal RNA (2108 nucleotides) under Escherichia coli. RNAcentral describes it as "partial 23S ribosomal RNA". It matches the Rfam family "Bacterial large subunit ribosomal RNA", at positions 1 to 2136 of the family's 2925-position model. The record is from RNAcentral. Lineage: Bacteria; Pseudomonadati; Pseudomonadota; Gammaproteobacteria; Enterobacterales; Enterobacteriaceae.